GGUUAAGUUAGAAAGGGCGCACGGUGGAUGCCUUGACACUAGGAGUCGAUGAAGGACGGGACUAACGCCGAUAUGCUUCGGGGAGCUGUAAGUAAGCUUUGAUCCGAAGAUUUCCGAAUGGGGAAACCCACCAUACGUAAUGGUAUGGUAUCCUUAUCUGAAUACAUAGGGUAAGGAAGACAGACCCAGGGAACUGAAACAUCUAAGUACCUGGAGGAAGAGAAAGCAAAUGCGAUUUCCUGAGUAGCGGCGAGCGAAACGGAACAUAGCCCAAACCAAGAGGCUUGCCUCUUGGGGUUGUAGGACAUUCUAUACGGAGUUACAAAGGAACGAGGUAGACGAAGCGACCUGGAAAGGUCCGUCGUAGAGGGUAACAACCCCGUAGUCGAAACUUCGUUCUCUCUUGAAUGUAUCCUGAGUACGGCGGAACACGUGAAAUUCCGUCGGAAUCUGGGAGGACCAUCUCCCAAGGCUAAAUACUCCCUAGUGAUCGAUAGUGAACCAGUACCGUGAGGGAAAGGGUCGA
Molecule: ribosomal RNA, 526 nt
Filed under: Bacillus thuringiensis
Lineage: Bacteria; Bacillati; Bacillota; Bacilli; Caryophanales; Bacillaceae
Description: bacterial LSU rRNA
Rfam family: Bacterial large subunit ribosomal RNA
Source: RNAcentral